GUGAAAUUGUACACCUGAAUCACAUCAUUAUAUGAAAGUCUAGGUUUUGACUUGGUGAUCAGGUGGGGGAAGGUUGAGAGUCUACAGUUCAUAUAAGCUCCCAGGUGCUGCUGAUACAGCUGGUUUAUGGGCCACACUUUGUUUUUUAAUUUUAAGAGUUGAUUUUAUUGUUUUGUUAGGAACAAUCUGAAGAAUACUUUAUUUUUGUGCAACAACUGAAAACAUUAUCAAAUAUAAGGGGGAUAUUAUCAGUUUGAUUUCUUUCAAGACUUAAAAAGUCCAUCAGCUAGCAAAGAACAAGAAACUGUUAUGUAAGGGCCAGUUCUGUGUUACCUAUUUGUCAUGAAAGAGAAGAUUUCGGAAAGGCAACAUUUCAACCUUUUAUCAAAUUAUAGCCUUUAUAUCAAUAUUUUUCUAGGUACUUUUCUGUGAUACAUGAGAGUUGAACCCGUUUUGACAUAAUAAUAAAAACAUGGAAUAUUUCAUGCUGUAGUUCAGACCCCAGUACCUCUCCUUCCCCAUCCCCUACUCCCUUCCCUCUAUUGAUCUUUCUGCCAUUUACUUAUAGUUAUUUUUUUUAUUUCUUGUGGGAUAUACUUGAUUGCUGAGAGCCAUAGCCAAGCAGGAAUGAUGCAUGGCAAUUUCCUUGUCAGCCUACUCAAUGUUGCUUAGAGGGAGGACUCUCCAAUGUGGAAAUGGGCUUGCCUUGGACCUUGGUCAUUUGCAGUGACAUUGCAUGAAUGUUUGAGAAAGGUAACCCUGCUCAAGGACCAGGGUGGAUCCGGGUUUAGGGUGGAUCUGGGUUUAGGGUUGAUCCUGCUGGGAAUAGGGUGGUUCCGGGUUUAAGGUGGAUCCUGCUGGGAAUAGGGCGUAUCCUGCUGCCUCAGGCACCCGCUCCUUGAGUUCCCGUUGAGUUCUCCCGGGAUUCAGAGAUUAUUUCGUAUGCAGAGCCCGGUGGAUUGUGGGAAUUUUCCCAGAACGUGCGUGUAGAGUGCCGGUGACAGUUCGAGAAUAAAGAGUUGCUA
Molecule: long non-coding RNA, 1025 nt
Filed under: Marmota monax (woodchuck)
Lineage: Eukaryota; Metazoa; Chordata; Mammalia; Rodentia; Sciuridae
Source: RNAcentral